Molecule: ribosomal RNA, 253 nt
Filed under: uncultured bacterium
Lineage: Bacteria
Description: partial 16S ribosomal RNA
Rfam family: Bacterial small subunit ribosomal RNA
Source: RNAcentral
UACGGGGGGGGCAAGCGUUGUUCGGAAUUACUGGGCGUAAAGGGCUCGUAGGUGGCCAACUAAGUCAUACGUGAAAUCCCUCGGCUUAACCGGGGAACUGCGUCUGAUACUGGAUGGCUUGAGGUUGGGAGAGGGAUGCGGAAUUCCAGGUGUAGCGGUGAAAUGCGUAGAUAUCUGGAGGAACACCGGUGGCGAAGGCGGCAUUCUGGACCGGCAUUGACGCUGAGGCGCGAAAGCCAGGGGAGCAAACGGG